Molecule: small nucleolar RNA, 120 nt
Organism: Heterocephalus glaber (naked mole-rat)
Lineage: Eukaryota; Metazoa; Chordata; Mammalia; Rodentia; Bathyergidae
Source: Ensembl
AUUUGUUUGUGGUUCACAAGUAUGAUGAUCAGGUUUUCAUGCCAUUGAGUGAGAUGUUCCUCUCUCAAACCCUGUCACAGGCCUGGGGAUGUAGCUCAGUGGCACCGCCCCUGCCUGGCA